RNAcentral lists this ribosomal RNA (487 nucleotides) under uncultured bacterium. Its description in RNAcentral is "bacterial SSU rRNA". It matches the Rfam family "Bacterial small subunit ribosomal RNA", at positions 30 to 511 of the family's 1533-position model. The record is from RNAcentral.
AUUGAACGCUGGCGGCAUGCCUUACACAUGCAAGUCGAACGGCAGCACGGGAGCAAUCCUGGUGGCGAGUGGCGAACGGGUGAGUAAUAUAUCGGAACGUGCCCAGUCGUGGGGAUAACGUAGCGAAAGCUACGCUAAUACCGCAUACGAUCUAUGGAUGAAAGCGGGGGAUCGCAAGACCUCGCGCGAUUGGAGCGGCCGAUAUCAGAUUAGGUAGUUGGUGAGGUAAAGGCUCACCAAGCCGACGAUCUGUAGCUGGUCUGAGAGGACGACCAGCCACACUGGGACUGAGACACGGCCCAGACUCCUACGGGAGGCAGCAGUGGGGAAUUUUGGACAAUGGGCGCAAGCCUGAUCCAGCAAUGCCGCGUGUGUGAAGAAGGUCUUCGGAUUGUAAAGCACUUUAAGUUGGGAGGAAGGGUAGUAACCUAAUACGUUGCUACUUUGACGUUACCGACAGAAUAAGCACCGGCUAACUUCGUGCCAG